RNAcentral lists this ribosomal RNA (253 nucleotides) under uncultured bacterium. RNAcentral describes it as "partial 16S ribosomal RNA". It matches the Rfam family "Bacterial small subunit ribosomal RNA", at positions 524 to 776 of the family's 1533-position model. The record is from RNAcentral.
UACAGAGGUCUCAAGCGUUGUUCGGAUUCAUUGGGCGUAAAGGGUGUGUAGGUGGCGCCGUAAGUCGGGUGUGAAAUUUCGGAGCUUAACUCCGAAACUGCAUUCGAUACUGCGGUGCUUGAGGACUGGAGAGGAGACUGGAAUUCAUGGUGUAGCAGUGAAAUGCGUAGAGAUCAUGAGGAAGACCGAUGGCGAAGGCAGGUCUCUGGGCCACUACUGACGCUGAGAAGCGAAAGCAUGGGGAGCGAACAGG